RNAcentral lists this ribosomal RNA (390 nucleotides) under uncultured Alphaproteobacteria bacterium. Its description in RNAcentral is "bacterial SSU rRNA". It matches the Rfam family "Bacterial small subunit ribosomal RNA", at positions 9 to 429 of the family's 1533-position model. The record is from RNAcentral. Lineage: Bacteria; Pseudomonadati; Pseudomonadota; Alphaproteobacteria.
GAGUUUGAUCAUGGCUCAGAACGAACGCUGGCGGCAGGCUUAACACAUGCAAGUCGAACGCCCCGCAAGGGGAGUGGCAGACGGGUGAGUAACACGUGGGAACGUACCCUUUUCUACGGAAUAACCCAGGGAAACUUGGACUAAUACCGUAUGUGCCCUUCGGGGGAAAGAUUUAUCGGAAAAGGAUCGGCCCGCGUUGGAUUAGCUAGUUGGUGGGGUAAAGGCCUACCAAGGCGACGAUCCAUAGCUGGUUUGAGAGAACGACCAGCCACACUGGGACUGAGACACGGCCCAGACUCCUACGGGAGGCAGCAGUGGGGAAUUUUGGACAAUGGGGGCAACCCUGAUCCAGCCAUGCCGCGUGUGUGAAGAAGGCCUUCGGGUUGUAAG